UCUCGGCAACGGAUAUCUCGGCUCUCGCAUCGAUGAAGAACGUAGCGAAAUGCGAUACCUGGUGUGAAUUGCAGAAUCCCGCGAACCAUCGAGUCUUUGAACGCAAGUUGCGCCCGAGGCCAUUCGGUNGAGGGCACGCCUGCCUGGGCGUCACGCCAAACACGCUC
RNAcentral lists this ribosomal RNA (167 nucleotides) under Phalaris arundinacea. Its description in RNAcentral is "5.8S ribosomal RNA". It matches the Rfam family "5.8S ribosomal RNA". Rfam says of the family: 5.8S ribosomal RNA (5.8S rRNA) is a component of the large subunit of the eukaryotic ribosome. It is transcribed by RNA polymerase I as part of the 45S precursor that also contains 18S and 28S rRNA. Functionally, it is thought that 5.8S rRNA may be involved in ribosome translocation. The record is from RNAcentral. Lineage: Eukaryota; Viridiplantae; Streptophyta; Magnoliopsida; Poales; Poaceae.